RNAcentral lists this ribosomal RNA (497 nucleotides) under uncultured bacterium. RNAcentral describes it as "partial 16S ribosomal RNA". It matches the Rfam family "Bacterial small subunit ribosomal RNA", at positions 28 to 507 of the family's 1533-position model. The record is from RNAcentral.
GAUGAACGCUGGCGGCGUGCCUAAUACAUGCAAGUCGAGCGAACAGACGAGGAGCUUGCUCCUCUGACGUUAGCGGCGGACGGGUGAGUAACACGUGGAUAACCUACCUAUAUGACUGGGAUAACUUCGGGAAACCGGCGCUAAUACCGGAUAAUAUAUUGAACCGCAUGGUUCAUUUGUGAAAGACGGCUUUUCUGUCUCUUAUCGAUGGAUCCGCGCCGCAUUAGCUAGUUGGUAAGGUAACGGCUUACCAAGGCAACGAUGCGUAGACGACCUGGGAGGGUGGUCGCCGACACGGGAACGGAGACAGCGUCCAGACUCCUACGGGAGGCAGCAGUAUGGAAUCUUCCGCAAUGGUCGAAAGCUUGGCGGAGCAGCGCCGAGUGAGUUAUGAAGGUCUUCGGAUCGUAAAACUCUGUUAUGAGGUGAAAACAAAUUUGUAAGGAACUAUACACGUCUUGACGGUACCUAAUCAGAAAGCCACGGCUAACUACGUG